AUAGAAGGGUCAACUAUUAAGUUAGGUAUUAACUAACCUACAAGUGAAACUAAAGUUAUUUUAAUGGAACAAUACUGUCAUAUGUUUGUUUGGAAUAUUUAUUAAAUCAAAGACUUUCUGUCGGCUUACCAAGCUACUUUGGAUAACGAUUUGAACUUGGCAAAAAAAUAUGCAAUCUGACUUUUGUUCUUUAUUAUAAAC
Non-coding RNA from Schizosaccharomyces pombe (fission yeast), 201 nucleotides. The record is from the annotation of a GenBank genome assembly. Lineage: Eukaryota; Fungi; Ascomycota; Schizosaccharomycetes; Schizosaccharomycetales; Schizosaccharomycetaceae.